RNAcentral lists this ribosomal RNA (445 nucleotides) under uncultured bacterium. RNAcentral describes it as "bacterial SSU rRNA". It matches the Rfam family "Bacterial small subunit ribosomal RNA", at positions 330 to 792 of the family's 1533-position model. The record is from RNAcentral.
UCCGGACUCCUACGGGAGGCAGCAGUGGGGGAUAUUGCACAAUGGGGGGAACCCUGAUGCAGCGACGCCGCGUGGGUGAAGGAGCGUUUCGGCGCGUAAAGCCCUAUCGGCAGGGAAGAAGAUGACGGUACCUGACCAAGAAGCCCCGGCUAACUACGUGCCAGCAGCCGCGGUAAUACGUAGAGGGCAAGCGUUAUCCGGAUUUACUGGGUGUAAAGGGAGCGUAGACGGAAUAGCAAGUCUGAUGUGAAAACCCGGGGCUCAACUCCGGGAGUGCAUUGGAAACUGUUGAUCUAGAGUGUCGGAGAGGCAAGCGGAAUUCCUAGUGUAGCGGUGAAAUGCGUAGAUAUUAGGAGGAACACCAGUGGCGAAGGCGGCUUGCUGGACGAUGACUGACGUUGAGGCUCGAAAGCGUGGGGAGCAAACAGGAUUAGAUACCCCUGUA